AUACGUAGGAGGCUAGCGUUGUCCGGAUUUACUGGGCGUAAAGGGUGCGUAGGCGGUCUGUUAAGUCUCAUGUGAAAUCUCCCGGCUCAACUGGGAGGGGUCAUGGGAUACUGGCAGGCUUGAGGGCAGUAGAGGAGAGCGGAAUUCCGGGAGUAGCGGUGAUAUGCGUAGAUACCCGGAGGAACACCAGAGGCGAAAGCGGCUCUCUGGGCUGUCCCUGACGCUGAGGCACGAAAGCGUGGGGAGCAAACCGGAUUAGAAACCCCAGUAGUCC
RNAcentral lists this ribosomal RNA (274 nucleotides) under uncultured bacterium. Its description in RNAcentral is "partial 16S ribosomal RNA". It matches the Rfam family "Bacterial small subunit ribosomal RNA", at positions 523 to 796 of the family's 1533-position model. The record is from RNAcentral.